This 253-nucleotide ribosomal RNA is filed under the name uncultured bacterium. Its description in RNAcentral is "partial 16S ribosomal RNA". It matches the Rfam family "Bacterial small subunit ribosomal RNA", at positions 524 to 776 of the family's 1533-position model. The record is from RNAcentral.
UACAGAGGGGGCAAGCGUUGUUCGGAAUUACUGGGCGUAAAGGGCGCGUAGGCGGCCUUCUAAGUCAAACGUGAAAUCCCUCGGCUCAACCGGGGAACUGCGUCUGAUACUGGAAGGCUUGAAUCCGGGAGAGGAAUGCGGAAUUCCAGGUGUAGCGGUGAAAUGCGUAGAUAUCGGGAGGAACACCAGUGGCGAAGGCGGCGACCUGGGCCAAUAUUGACGCUGAGGUGCGAAAGCGUGGGGAGCAAACAGG